AUUGAACGCUGGCGGAAUGCUUUACACAUGCAAGUCGAGCGGCAGCGCGGGGGCAACCCUGGCGGCGAGCGGCGAACGGGUGAGUAACAUAUCGGAACGUACCCCGUCGUGGGGGAUAACACAGCGAAAGCUGUGCUAAUACCGCAUACGACCUGAGGGUGAAAGCGGGGGACCGUAAGGCCUCGCGCGAUGGGAGCGGCCGAUAUCGGAUUAGCUAGUUGGUGAGGUAAAGGCUCACCAAGGCGACGAUCCGUAGCUGGUCUGAGAGGACGACCAGCCACACUGGAACUGAGGCACGGUCCAGACUCCUACGGGAGGCAGCAGUGGGGAAUUUUGGACAAUGGGGGCAACCCUGAUCCAGCCAUUCCGCGUGAGUGAAGAAGGCCUUCGGGUUGUAAAGCUCUUUCAGCAGGAACGAAACGGUGGCCCCUAAUACGGGCUACUAAUGACGGUACCUGAAGAAGAAGCACCGGCUAACUACGUGCCAGCAGCCGCGGUAAUACGUAGGGUGCGAGCGUUAAUCGGAAUUACUGGGCGUAAAGCGUGCGCAGGCGGUUCUAUAAGACAGAUGUGAAAUCCCCGGGCUUAACCUGGGAACUGCGUUUGUGACUGUAGAACUCGAGUGUGGCAGAGGGGGGUGGAAUUCCACGUGUAGCAGUGAAAUGCGUAGAGAUGUGGAGGAACACCGAUGGCGAAGGCAGCCCCCUGGGUCAACACUGACGCUCAUGCACGAAAGCGUGGGGAGCAAACAGGAUUAGAUACCCUGGUAGUCCACGCCCUAAACGAUGCGAACUAGGUGUUGGGGAAGGAGACUUUCUUAGUACCGCAGCUAACGCGUGAAGUUCGCCGCCUGGGGAGUACGGUCGCAAGAUUAA
This 875-nucleotide ribosomal RNA is filed under the name uncultured beta proteobacterium. RNAcentral describes it as "bacterial SSU rRNA". It matches the Rfam family "Bacterial small subunit ribosomal RNA", at positions 28 to 897 of the family's 1533-position model. The record is from RNAcentral. Lineage: Bacteria; Pseudomonadati; Pseudomonadota; Betaproteobacteria.